UACACACCGCCCGUCACACCAUGGAAGCCAGCUGUACCCGAAGUCCGUGACCCAACCCGCAAGGGAGGGAGCGGCCGAAGGUGAACUCAAUGACUGGGGCU
This 101-nucleotide ribosomal RNA is filed under the name uncultured bacterium. RNAcentral describes it as "partial 16S ribosomal RNA". The record is from RNAcentral.